RNAcentral lists this ribosomal RNA (644 nucleotides) under Pseudomonas sp. RNAcentral describes it as "bacterial SSU rRNA". It matches the Rfam family "Bacterial small subunit ribosomal RNA", at positions 56 to 703 of the family's 1533-position model. The record is from RNAcentral. Lineage: Bacteria; Pseudomonadati; Pseudomonadota; Gammaproteobacteria; Pseudomonadales; Pseudomonadaceae.
UGCAGUCGAGCGGAUGAGGGAGCUUGCUCCUGGAUUCAGCGGCGGACGGGUGAGUAAUGCCUAGGAAUCUGCCUGGUAGUGGGGGAUAACGUCCGGAAACGGGCGCUAAUACCGCAUACGUCCUGAGGGGGAAAGUGGGGGAUCUUCGGACCUCACGCUAUCAGAUGAGCCUAGGUCGGAUUAGCUAGUUGGUGGGGUAAAGGCCUACCAAGGCGACGAUCCGUAACUGGUCUGAGAGGAUGAUCAGUCACACUGGAACUGAGACACGGUCCAGACUCCUACGGGAGGCAGCAGUGGGGAAUAUUGGACAAUGGGCGAAAGCCUGAUCCAGCCAUGCCGCGUGUGUGAAGAAGGUCUUCGGAUUGUAAAGCACUUUAAGUUGGGAGGAAGGGCAGUAAGUUAAUACCUUGCUGUUUUGACGUUACCAACAGAAUAAGCACCGGCUAACUUCGUGCCAGCAGCCGCGGUAAUACGAAGGGUGCAAGCGUUAAUCGGAAUUACUGGGCGUAAAGCGCGCGUAGGUGGUUCAGCAAGUUGGAUGUGAAAUCCCCGGUUCAACCUGGAACUGCAUCCUAACUACUGAGCUAGAGUACGGUAGAGGGUGAUGUACUUACUGUGUAGCGUGAAUGCGUAGAUAUAUGAUG